RNAcentral lists this ribosomal RNA (780 nucleotides) under uncultured bacterium. RNAcentral's name for it is "bacterial SSU rRNA". It matches the Rfam family "Bacterial small subunit ribosomal RNA", at positions 8 to 795 of the family's 1533-position model. The record is from RNAcentral.
AGAGUUUGAUCCUGGCUCAGGAUGAACGCUAGCGGGAGGCUUAACACAUGCAAGUCGAGGGGUAUAGUAGCAAUACUAGAGACCGGCGCACGGGUGAGUAACGCGUAUGCAACCUGCCCUUUACAGGAGGAUAGCCCGCUGAAAGGCGGAUUAAUACUCCAUAAUAUGGUACAGCCGCAUGGUUGAACUAUAAAAGCUUAGGCGGUAAAGGAUGGGCAUGCGUGACAUUAGCUAGUUGGCGGGGUAACGGCCCACCAAGGCUACGAUGUCUAGGGGUUCUGAGAGGAAGGUCCCCCACACUGGUACUGAGACACGGACCAGACUCCUACGGGAGGCAGCAGUGAGGAAUAUUGGUCAAUGGGCGCGAGCCUGAACCAGCCAUCCCGCGUGCAGGAAGACGGCCCUAUGGGUUGUAAACUGCUUUUGUGCAGGAAGAACGUACGGAUCGUGAUCCGUAGUGACGGUACUGCAUGAAUAAGCACCGGCUAACUCCGUGCCAGCAGCCGCGGUAAUACGGAGGGUGCAAGCGUUAUCCGGAUUUAUUGGGUUUAAAGGGUGCGUAGGCGGUUAAAUAAGUCAGUGGUGAAAAGCUGCAGCUCAACUGUAGUCCUGCCAUUGAAACUGUUUUACUUGAGUAACCAUGAGGUAGGCGGAAUGUGUAGUGUAGCGGUGAAAUGCGUAGAUAUCAGAGGAACACCUGUGGUGUAGACAGCUUACUGGACCACUUCUGACGCUAGCACGAAAGCGUGGGUAGCAAACAGGAUUAAUACCCUGGUAGUC